Molecule: ribosomal RNA, 165 nt
Filed under: Carex laegaardii
Lineage: Eukaryota; Viridiplantae; Streptophyta; Magnoliopsida; Poales; Cyperaceae
Description: 5.8S ribosomal RNA
Rfam family: 5.8S ribosomal RNA
About the family: 5.8S ribosomal RNA (5.8S rRNA) is a component of the large subunit of the eukaryotic ribosome. It is transcribed by RNA polymerase I as part of the 45S precursor that also contains 18S and 28S rRNA.
Source: RNAcentral
AAUACGACUCUCGGCAACGGAUAUCUCGGCUCUCGCAUCGAUGAAGAACGUAGCGAAAUGCGAUACGUGGUGUGAAUUGCAGAAUCCCGUGACCAUCGAGUCUUUGAACGCAAGUUGCGCCCGAGGGACCCUCCCGAGGGCACGCCUGCCUCACGGGCGUUAGAA